Molecule: long non-coding RNA, 576 nt
Filed under: Trifolium pratense (red clover)
Lineage: Eukaryota; Viridiplantae; Streptophyta; Magnoliopsida; Fabales; Fabaceae
Description: long non-coding RNA (TPRA_LNC013940)
Source: RNAcentral
UAAUGUUGUAAGAGUCGAUAUGAAGAUCAAAUUCUUUACUCUUGGAUUGAAUGAUUGGAUUAAUAUGAAUUUAAAUUUGAAGCUUAAUUUGAAGGGUUGUGUGGAUAUUGGUCUUCUCUAUUGGCUAUUAAUUAGUUGUCAUCUUUUAUAGAAACGGAGAAAUAGGGGCACAUGAUGAUCAUUUUAUGCGCCUUGUUGAACAUUGGUUGGAAGCAUGUUACAUGGUUCAACAUUAUAUGGAAGCACAAGGUAACACAAAUAAUAAGCUCACAAUUGAGUAAAGCUCAUACAUUUAUAUAUUGUUUAGAAGGAACCCACUAAUGAAUGGGUAGUUUCGAAUACCGAUGGUGCUAGUAAGGGUACCUUAGUGGCCGGUUGUGGUAGUCUCAUUCGAGAUAAAAGCAUUUAGGGUUGUGUACUACGUAUGUGGUGGAACUUUGAGGUGUUCUGUAAGGUUUGAAUCUCGCUUGGGACUGUGGGUAUAGGAAGGUUGAGCUUCAUGUAGAUUCCAAAAUUGUUGUUCAUGCUCUAAAUAUUAAAAACAUGGGUACUGUGGCUUGUUGGAGGUUAAUUCAA